Molecule: small RNA, 396 nt
Filed under: Vigna angularis var. angularis
Lineage: Eukaryota; Viridiplantae; Streptophyta; Magnoliopsida; Fabales; Fabaceae
Description: Non-protein coding transcript
Source: RNAcentral
CCUUACUUGAAGCAAGUAAUGCAGAGCUACAACAUGAGCUUAAAAGACGCCAGUUAACGUCUGAGAAUUUUGCCCAACGUGCUCUUGAGACCCAGGUUGAAAGGGACCAACUGCUUUUGAAAAUAGAAUCAAUUCGAAAUGGUAAAUCAUGGGAGGAGAUUGACUCAAAUUCGAAUCAGGAUUAUGCCCUACUGAAAUCUUAUGUUUCAAAGAUCCAAGAUCUGGAAGGAGAAUUGCUUCGAUUGAAAACUUCGAAUGCAACAAAUUCAAGUCAUUUUGUUGAUUGUUUUGAUUCUGAUGACGAUGGAUAUGGAUCAAAACAUGCUUUAUUCGCACCUGGUUUGUUUACUUCUGACUGUGAUGUUAAAGCUGUUACGGAGGAUAUAGUGCGUUGGG